GACGAACGCUGGCGGCGUGCCUAAUACAUGCAAGUUGAGCGCUGAAGGUUGGUCCUUGUACCAACUGGAUGAGCAGCGAACGGGUGAGUAACGCGUGGGGAAUCUGCCUUUGAGCGGGGGACAACAUUUGGAAACGAAUGCUAAUACCGCAUAAAAACUUUAAACACAAGUUUUAAGUUUGAAAGAUGCAAUUGCAUCACUCAAAGAUGAUCCCGCGUUGUAUUAGCUAGUUGGUGAGGUAAAGGCCCACCAAGGCGAUGAUACAUAGCCGACCUGAGAGGGUGAUCGGCCACAUUGGGACUGAGACACGGCCCAAACUCCUACGGGAGGCAGCAGUAGGGAAUCUUCGGCAAUGGACGAAAGUCUGACCGAGCAACGCCGCGUGAGUGAAGAAGGUUUUCGGAUCGUAAAACUCUGUUGGUAGAGAAGAACGUUGGCGAGAGUGGAAAGCUCAUCAAGUGACGGUAACUACCCAGAAAGGGACGGCUAACUACGUG
Molecule: ribosomal RNA, 497 nt
Filed under: uncultured bacterium
Lineage: Bacteria
Description: partial 16S ribosomal RNA
Rfam family: Bacterial small subunit ribosomal RNA
Source: RNAcentral